AGUUGGCUGCUGAUACGUGAGAAAGGAAGACUCCUAUUUAGAUAGCAAUAAAAAUACAUUUUCUACUAACAUAGCUGUGCUAAACGAAGGAACUUCAUCAAAAUGCUCAACUCCGAUUGAUAUAAUAAUGGCUGAAGAGAAUAAAGAGCCGAGCAAUCCACCGCUCAACUCCCAACGACAACACGCACCACAGGCUCCAAAAAUUACAUUCAAAACUCUGAAUAACAAACCGAAUUGAAACCCUUUCAACGUAAGCUGAGUUGAACGGAGGAUUGACCAUUCUCUUCAGCCAUUGCUAAGUCGACCGCAGUUCAUCAUUUUGAUGAAGUUAUUCCUCCGUCAGCUUGCCAACUGUUAUUCCACUCUUAAGUCAUUGUUAUAUUAAUUAAACAUAUCGCUUCUGCCAUCGCCAAAAUCAUCUCUAAAGCUAAAUAAUUGCUACAAGGAAGACAUGCCACUAAUGGAACAAUAAAAAUAUUGUAAACAACCAAGCUCUUCAAAGGCGCUUUCAGGAAAAAAGUUGCGAAAAUGUUCAUUAACUAUUCCCAGCCAGUAGCAGAAGCAGGAGGCGGCGGCGGCAUUACAUCAACUCCAGCAACAUCAACUCCAGCAUCAACUCCAGGUGCU
This 627-nucleotide long non-coding RNA is filed under the name Olea europaea subsp. europaea. Lineage: Eukaryota; Viridiplantae; Streptophyta; Magnoliopsida; Lamiales; Oleaceae. The record is from RNAcentral.